UACGUAGGGAGCAAGCGUUGUCCGGAUUUACUGGGUGUAAAGGGUGCGUAGGCGGGAACACAAGUCAGGCGUGAAAUACCGGGGCUCAACUCCGGGGCUGCGCUUGAAACUGUGUUUCUUGAGUGAAGUAGAGGCAGGCGGAAUUCCUAGUGUAGCGGUGGAAUGCGUAGAUAUUAGGAGGAACACCAGUGGCGAAGGCGGCCUGCUGGGCUUUAACUGACGCUGAUGCACGAAAGCAUGGGGAGCAAACA
Molecule: ribosomal RNA, 251 nt
Filed under: uncultured bacterium
Lineage: Bacteria
Description: partial 16S ribosomal RNA
Rfam family: Bacterial small subunit ribosomal RNA
Source: RNAcentral